UACAGAGGUGGCAAGCGUUGUUCGGAAUUACUGGGCGUAAAGGGCGCGUAGGCGGCCAUCUAAGUCAGACGUGAAAUCCCUCGGCUUAACCGAGGAACUGCCUGUCAGACUGGAAGGCUUGAGACCGGGAGAGGUGAGUGGAAUUCCCAGUGUAGCGGUGAAAUGCGUAGAUAUUGGGAGGAACACCAGUGGCGAAGGCGGCCCACUGGACCGGAACUGACGCUGAGGCGCGAAAGCGUGGGGAGCAAACAGG
This 253-nucleotide ribosomal RNA is filed under the name uncultured bacterium. RNAcentral describes it as "partial 16S ribosomal RNA". It matches the Rfam family "Bacterial small subunit ribosomal RNA", at positions 524 to 776 of the family's 1533-position model. The record is from RNAcentral.